ACAGAGGGUGCGAGCGUUAAUCAGAUUUACUGGGCGUAAAGCGUGAGUAGGUGGCUCGCUAAGUCGAUUGUGAAAGCCCUGGGCUCAACCUGGGAAUUGCAGUCGAUACUGGAGAGCUCGAGUUCGGUAGAGGGUGACGGAAUUCCCGGUGUAGCGGUGAAAUGCGUAGAUAUCGGGAGGAACAUCGAUGGCGAAGGCAAUCACCUGGGCCUGAACUGACACUGAGACACGAAAGCGUGGGUAGCAAACAGGA
This 253-nucleotide ribosomal RNA is filed under the name uncultured prokaryote. RNAcentral's name for it is "partial 16S ribosomal RNA". It matches the Rfam family "Bacterial small subunit ribosomal RNA", at positions 525 to 777 of the family's 1533-position model. The record is from RNAcentral.